RNAcentral lists this ribosomal RNA (497 nucleotides) under uncultured bacterium. RNAcentral's name for it is "partial 16S ribosomal RNA". It matches the Rfam family "Bacterial small subunit ribosomal RNA", at positions 28 to 507 of the family's 1533-position model. The record is from RNAcentral.
GAUGAACGCUGGCGGCGUGCCUAAUACAUGCAAGUCGAGCGAACGGACGAGAAGCUUGCUUUUCUGAUGUUAGCGGCGGACGGGUGAGUAACACGUGGAUAACCUACCUAUAAGACUGGGAUAACUUCGGGAAACCGGAGCUAAUACCGGAUAAUAUUUUGAACCGCAUGGUUCAAAAGUGAAAGACGGUCUUGCUGUCACUUAUAGAUGGAUCCGCGCUGCAUUAGCUAGUUGGUAAGGUAACGGCUUACCAAGGCAACGAUGCAUAGCCGACCUGAGAGGGUGGUCGGCCACACAGGAACUGAGACACGGUCCAGACUCCUACGGGAGGCAGCAGUAGGGAAUCUUCCGCAAUGGGCGAAAGCCUGACGGAGCAACGCCGCGUGAGUGAUGAAGGUCUUCGGAUCGUAAAACUCUGUUAUUAGGGAAGAACAUAUGUGUAAGUAACUGUGCACAUCUUGACGGUACCUAAUCAGAAAGCCACGGCUAACUACGUG